RNAcentral lists this ribosomal RNA (117 nucleotides) under Anas platyrhynchos (mallard). Lineage: Eukaryota; Metazoa; Chordata; Aves; Anseriformes; Anatidae. The record is from RNAcentral.
GCUAACGGCCAUACCACCGGCAACGCCCGAUCUAGUCUGAUCUCGGAAGCUAAGCAGUGGUAGGGCCAGGUUAGUACUUGGAGGGAGACCUCCUGGGAAUACCGGGUGUGGUAGGCU